This 431-nucleotide ribosomal RNA is filed under the name uncultured bacterium. RNAcentral describes it as "partial 16S ribosomal RNA". It matches the Rfam family "Bacterial small subunit ribosomal RNA", at positions 29 to 505 of the family's 1533-position model. The record is from RNAcentral.
AACGAACGCUGGCGGCAUGCCUAACACAUGCAAGUCGAACGAGACCUUCGGGUCUAGUGGCGCACGGGUGCGUAACGCGUGGGAACCUGCCCUUAGGUUCGGAAUAACUCCCCGAAAGGGGUGCUAAUACCAGAUAAUGUCUUCGGACCAAAGAUUUAUCGCCUUUGGAUGGGCCCGCGUUGGAUUAGCUAGUUGGUAGGGUAAAAGCCUACCAAGGCGACGAUCCAUAGCUGGUCUGAGAGGAUGAUCAGCCACACUGGGACUGAGACACGGCCCAGACUCCUACGGGAGGCAGCAGUGGGGAAUAUUGGACAAUGGGCGAAAGCCUGAUCCAGCAAUGCCGCGUGAGUGAUGAAGGCCUUAGGGUUGUAAAGCUCUUUUACCCGGGAUGAUAAUGACAGUACCGGGAGAAUAAGCUCCGGCUAACUCCG